UUUCACAAAGCUUCAUUCUAUAUCCAUAUGAACCAAAAAUGGGAACAUGUAAACAAUCAUUACAGUUGAAUAGGUUCGCCUAAAAUUUAUUUUGUUUCACACCUAGGGAAAAGAAGACACUAAAUUAAGAAUUAUUGUCACAUCUCUACGGCCGUAGUGAUUAACUAACAAUUGCUGACAAACCAUGGCAAUCUAUAAUUUGUCUGUCUAAGACAUAAGGCACCUUUUUCUUGUUUGCCGAUACCUGGAAUUUUUCAAAUACAUUGUAUGUCGAAUGAACUUACAGUUUUCGUCUCACAUCUUUAAAGUGCUACUGAAUAGAAGGAAUUAAUAUUUAGCUAUCAACUUGACAGUAAUGAGUAGUAA
Mytilus californianus (California mussel) is the source of this 366-nucleotide long non-coding RNA. RefSeq lists it as uncharacterized. NCBI's taxonomy places the organism in Eukaryota, Metazoa, Mollusca, Bivalvia, Mytilida, Mytilidae. The transcript has 3 exons. The record is from RefSeq and is a predicted model, not a curated record.